RNAcentral lists this antisense RNA (139 nucleotides) under uncultured Superficieibacter sp. Its description in RNAcentral is "sok antitoxin (CssrC)". It matches the Rfam family "sok antitoxin (CssrC)". Rfam says of the family: Also identified in Shigella as CssrC. Lineage: Bacteria; Pseudomonadati; Pseudomonadota; Gammaproteobacteria; Enterobacterales; Enterobacteriaceae. The record is from RNAcentral.
GGGUGCUUGAGGCUUUCCGGUCUCAGGCCUUGUCGGAGUUCGGAAAGAUGAAAGCCCCAGGAGAUAUUUCUAUCCACCUGAGGCCUACAUCCGAACCAGACAAUCGGAUGUUAGUCUCUUCUUUGCACGGAGGCAAUAA